This 432-nucleotide ribosomal RNA is filed under the name Triticum aestivum (bread wheat). RNAcentral's name for it is "partial small subunit ribosomal RNA". Lineage: Eukaryota; Viridiplantae; Streptophyta; Magnoliopsida; Poales; Poaceae. The record is from RNAcentral.
AUGGGAGAAGUUGUGUACAAGUUGGAACCGCCCGAAAGAUUGUCAGGAGUUCAUGAUGUGUUUCACGUUUGCCAGUUGAAGAAGUGCCACGCUGAGAUGGCUGAUACUUGUCUGAGAGAUAUAGUGCCACUGGAAGCGAUUCAGCUAGAUAGUGAUCUGACCUACGAAGAGAAACCCGUCAAGAUUCUCGAGUUUUCCAGCCGUGUUACUCGCAGCAAGGUAUCAAGUUUUGCAAAGUUCAAUGGAGCCACCAUACCGAGGAGGAAGCCACCUGGGAGCGAGAAGAAAACCUCUACAAGGACCACCCAAACCUUUUUGCUGACCAACCCGAAUCUCGAGGGCGAGAUUCAUCUUAAGGGAGGUAGGUUUGUAACAUCCCAAUUUUCAAUUUGGAUGGUAUACAUAGAUCAUCAUAUGCAUAUCAUAUUUUAA